This 84-nucleotide transfer RNA is filed under the name Xenopus laevis (African clawed frog). It matches the Rfam family "tRNA". From Rfam's summary of the family: Transfer RNA (tRNA) molecules are approximately 80 nucleotides in length. Their secondary structure includes four short double-helical elements and three loops (D, anti-codon, and T loops). The record is from Rfam by way of RNAcentral. Lineage: Eukaryota; Metazoa; Chordata; Amphibia; Anura; Pipidae.
ACCAGGAUGGCCGAGUGGUUAAGCUGUUGGACUUAAGUUCCCGAAGGAUGUAUGGCCAUGUGGGUUCAAACCCCGCUUCUGGUA